CGGAUUUUCAUGAACCAAUAAAAAAGCGAUGGGUCGUUUGGACCUUGUAGGUGCUGAUGGGCGGCGCUUCCAGGAAAAGCUACUAGAAGUGGAUCAGGCUAAGGAGGCAUCGUCCGACCUCCUUCUGCAUUACCACAAACCAACGGAGACGCCAGGCCUAUGUCAUCAAGGAGCUCACCCUCCUCCAGGGCAGCUGGAGUCUGGGCUUCCAGGCUGGGUCUUGCCACUGCUUACCAAGUGGAUGCUGUCAUAAGUGGAUAAAGUGCUUGGGUGGUGGCAGACCAGCAGGGGGAGAAGAGACAUCACUGAGGCUUUUCGGGAGCAUGAAGCCCAUAUUUAAAAAUAAGUAUAGCCACAAUAUCACUGUGUUCAGGAAGAAUCUUCCUUGAGUUUUGCCAGAAAAGCUCCAGAGAGGACCUUGGUUGGUAUGGUUCAGCUCCAGUAUUCAGCCCUGUAGAUCUCCCUAGGUCUGCAGGAAAGGGCUUCAGCUGGCCAGCAUGGGGCACCAGGCAGUGCCUGUGAUGGAGGCAGAGCUCCUACAAGAAGGCACAGAACCCAGUGAAAUCCACAGGCUUCUAAAUUCAGGAGGCCUAUCAUCUACCAUCUAUCUACCAUAUCAAGAGCAAAUUGUGUGAACUUUGGUAAAACGGAAUGAAGUAAUUUCCCUUUGGGCCAAAACACGACUGCUCUGCAUUCCAGUUUUGGAAAUAUUUCCUGAUCUGUAAAAUGGUGAGUUGAAGGCAGACACCCUUUGCAGUUCUCAGAGCAGUGCUGGGCAGAGACCUUUUGAAUCAGAUGUUGGCCCUUUUGGAAGCUGAGAACUACUGGAAGUCCUUUUGAAACUAAGAGCAUUUAAUCCUGCCCACGACUUUGGAGCAUCAUUUUCAGUUAAAGAUUCUUCAAUCCAUAUGGCUGUUUUAACUGAAUUUGUUUGGGGAGCACAGAUGGUAUGAAAGAAGCUCACAAGCUGCAGUAACCUCAAGUGAGGAACCAGGCACUGGGCUGAGGCGUUCUGCAGACGCCCAUUCACGCUGGCCCCGCAGGGCUCUGGGUGUGGAGUGAGCGGAGCUGGAGGAGGACCAAGCACGGCAGGACCCGGGAGCACGGCAGGACCCAGAACGAGCGCAGUGCGGCAGGGCAUACGGGAGGGGUCUGCCCUCCCUGCCUUGGCUUGCUUCCCCCCUGUGACUUGGCCUCUGCCUGCCCAUCCCGUUCUUCAGGGAGUUUACAGUGGACUUUCCCAGUAAGUUUGACUGUAUAUUGUAUGCUUAAUAUAAAUUUGGUUGGU
Non-coding RNA from Manis javanica (Malayan pangolin), 1288 nucleotides. The record is from RefSeq and is a predicted model, not a curated record. Lineage: Eukaryota; Metazoa; Chordata; Mammalia; Pholidota; Manidae.